This 440-nucleotide ribosomal RNA is filed under the name uncultured bacterium. RNAcentral describes it as "partial 16S ribosomal RNA". It matches the Rfam family "Bacterial small subunit ribosomal RNA", at positions 338 to 795 of the family's 1533-position model. The record is from RNAcentral.
CCUACGGGUGGCAGCAGUGGGGGAUAUUGCACAAUGGGGGGAAGCCUGAUGCAGCGACGCCGCGUGGGUGAAGAAGGGCCUCGGCGCGUAAAGCCCUGUUAGUAGGGAAGAAAAUGACGGUACCUGAAGAAGAAGCACCGGCUAACAACGUGCCAGCAGCCGCGGUAAUAAGUAGGGGGCAAGCGUUAUCCGGAAUUACUGGGUGUAAAGGGUGAGUAGGCGGCAGGGUAGGCCAGAUGUGAAAGCCUUGGGCUUAACCCGAGGAGUGCAUUUGAAACUGUCAAGCUAGAGUGCAGGAGAGGAAAGCGGAAUGCCUGGUGUAGCGGUGAAAUGCGUAGAUAUUAGGAAGAACACCAGUGGCGAAGGCGGCUUUCUGGACUGAAACUGACGCUGAGGCACGAAAGCGUGGGGAGCGAACAGGAUUAGAUACCCCAGUAGUC